GCCCACGUGGUGGAAUUGGCAGACACGCUAGACUUAGGAUCUAGUGCCGAGAGGCGUGGGGGUUCGACUCCCUCCGUGGGCACCA
This 85-nucleotide transfer RNA is filed under the name Pseudobdellovibrionaceae bacterium. RNAcentral's name for it is "Bdellovibrionaceae bacterium tRNA-Leu". It matches the Rfam family "tRNA". Rfam says of the family: Transfer RNA (tRNA) molecules are approximately 80 nucleotides in length. Their secondary structure includes four short double-helical elements and three loops (D, anti-codon, and T loops). Further hydrogen bonds mediate the characteristic L-shaped molecular structure. tRNAs have two regions of fundamental functional importance: the anti-codon, which is responsible for specific mRNA codon recognition, and the 3' end, to which the tRNAs corresponding amino acid is attached (by aminoacyl-tRNA synthetases). tRNAs cope with the degeneracy of the genetic code in two manners: having more than one tRNA (with a specific anti-codon) for a particular amino acid; and 'wobble' base-pairing, i.e. permitting non-standard base-pairing at the 3rd anti-codon position. The record is from RNAcentral. Lineage: Bacteria; Pseudomonadati; Bdellovibrionota; Bdellovibrionia; Bdellovibrionales; Pseudobdellovibrionaceae.